CCCGGCUUAACCGGGGAGGGUCAUUUGGAAACUGGGGAACUUUGAGUGCAGAAGAGGAGAGUGGAAUUUCCACGUGUAGCGGUGAAAUGCGUAGAGAUGUGGAGGAACACCAGUGGCGAAGGCGACUCUCUGGUCUGUAACUGACGCUGAGGAGCGAAAGCGUGGGGAGCGAACAGGAUUAGAUACCCUGGUAGUCCACGCCGUAAACGAUGAGUGCUAAGUGUUAGGGGGUUUCCGCCCCUUAGUGCUGCAGCUAACGCAUUAAGCACUCCGCCUGGGGAGUACGGUCGCAAGACUGAAACUCAAAGGAAUUGACGGGGGCCCGCACAAGCGGUGGAGCAUGUGGUUUAAUUCGAAGCAACGCGAAGAACCUUACCAGGUCUUGACAUCCUCUGACGAUCCUAGAGAUAGGACGUCCCCUUCGGGGGCAGAGUGACAGGUGGUGCAUGGUUGUCGUCAGCUCGUGUCGUGAGAUGUUGGGUUAAGUCCCGCAACGAGCGCAACCCUUGAUCUUAGUUGCCAGCAUUCAGUUGGGCACUCUAAGGUGACUGCCGGUGACAAACCGGAGGAAGGUGGGGAUGACGUCAAAUCAUCAUGCCCCUUAUGACCUGGGCUACACACGUGCUACAAUGGACAGAACAAAGGGCAGCGAAACCGCGAGGUUAAGCCAAUCCC
This 675-nucleotide ribosomal RNA is filed under the name Bacillus subtilis. RNAcentral describes it as "bacterial SSU rRNA". It matches the Rfam family "Bacterial small subunit ribosomal RNA", at positions 603 to 1275 of the family's 1533-position model. Lineage: Bacteria; Bacillati; Bacillota; Bacilli; Caryophanales; Bacillaceae. The record is from RNAcentral.